GGAGCUUCCUAGAGCCAAAUCUCCGAGGAAUAUACAUUACAUUUUCUGGUAUUUUUCCCUAUGAGAAGUUUCUGUUAAGUGCAGGGGAUGCAUAUUGGAAAGAAAUGGAAAAGUUGGAGGAGCUUCAGAGGUGGCACAUCAUCGCUGAAGAAUCUUUCAUAACUGUCAGAUCCUGCCAUGAGAUUGGAGCAUUAUUAAAGUUACCUCGAGCAAGCUGCACUAAUUGGAAAUAUUUCUUGUUUUCCUGUUCCCUUGGUACUUUAUCUCCUGUCUUAUUAACAACGCUUCCUAAAGCUCUGUAUUCCCAGUAACUGUCAUCUUAAUGAUGUGAAAAUCAAUAGCAAAUGUUGUCAUUUUAAAAACUAUUAUUGGACUGCCAAGCAUGGAGAACUACAGGAAGGCAUGGUGACCUUGUAAAGUUUCUGAUUCCAGUAAAGAAAGAGGCAUCUGGAGUGGAAUCCUUUGUAACUAUUUUCCCUCUUUUCAUUAUAAAGAUAAUUGUUAUAAGAUCAGGAAGAGGUGUGGUCUUGAGAACUCAAGGAUUUCAUUGCAUUUCUUUACAAAUCACUGCAUUGGUAUUUA
This 582-nucleotide long non-coding RNA is filed under the name Anolis carolinensis (green anole). Its description in RNAcentral is "lncRNA (ENSACAG00000032099.2)". The record is from RNAcentral. Lineage: Eukaryota; Metazoa; Chordata; Lepidosauria; Squamata; Anolidae.